RNAcentral lists this ribosomal RNA (325 nucleotides) under Streptococcus iniae. RNAcentral describes it as "bacterial SSU rRNA". It matches the Rfam family "Bacterial small subunit ribosomal RNA", at positions 1 to 316 of the family's 1533-position model. The record is from RNAcentral. Lineage: Bacteria; Bacillati; Bacillota; Bacilli; Lactobacillales; Streptococcaceae.
UUUAAUGAGAGUUUGAUCCUGGCUCAGGACGAACGCUGGCGGCGUGCCUAAUACAUGCAAGUAGAACGCUGAGGAUUGGUGCUUGCACUAAUCCAAAGAGUUGCGAACGGGUGAGUAACGCGUAGGUAACCUACCUCAUAGCGGGGGAUAACUAUUGGAAACGAUAGCUAAUACCGCAUGAUACUAGAGUACACAUGUACUUAAGUUAAAAGGAGCAAUUGCUUCACUAUGAGAUGGACCUGCGUUGUAUUAGCUAGUUGGUGAGGUAACGGCUCACCAAGGCGACGAUACAUAGCCGACCUGAGAGGGUGAUCGGCCACACUGG